UUCCUGUACCAAUUGGAGUAACCAUCUAGUAAUGGUAUCCGACAUCCGGAUAGGCCGAAUGUAUGUAAAGCAACACUCAAGAACCUAUUUGAAUAUAGUUACCGUAUAAUUCAUCCUUUUGACCUUUGAUGCUAGGAUGACUUAGAGUUUAAACUGUCAACUCUUAAUGAUACAUCCAUUAUGUAUCUCAAUCUGAUAAAUCUUGUAACUCCUCAUAAAGAUUGCCCUGGUCA
This 233-nucleotide long non-coding RNA is filed under the name Elaeis guineensis (African oil palm). RNAcentral's name for it is "long non-coding RNA (EGUI_LNC066636)". Lineage: Eukaryota; Viridiplantae; Streptophyta; Magnoliopsida; Arecales; Arecaceae. The record is from RNAcentral.